Molecule: ribosomal RNA, 492 nt
Filed under: uncultured bacterium
Lineage: Bacteria
Description: partial 16S ribosomal RNA
Rfam family: Bacterial small subunit ribosomal RNA
Source: RNAcentral
AAUGAACGCUGGCGGUGGGCCUAACACAUGCAAGUCGAACGGCAGCACAGUAAGAUCGUGCUCUUACGGUUGGCGACUGGCGGACGGGUGAGGAAUACAUCAGAAUCUACUUUUUCGUGGGGGAUAACGGAGGGAAACUGACGCUAAUACCGCAUACGACCUACGGGUGAAAGCAGAAGAUCUUCGGAGCUUGCGCGAUUCAAUGAGCCGAUGUCGGAUUAGCUAGUUGGCGGGGUAAAGGCCCACCAAGGCGACGAUACGUAGCUGGUCUGAGAGGAUGAUCAGCCACACUGGAACUGAGACACGGUCCAGACUCCUACGGGAGGCAGCAGUGGGGAAUCUUCGACAAAGGGCGAAAGCCUGAUGCAGCAAUACCGCGUGAGUGAAGAAGGUCUUCGGGUCGUAAAGCCCUUUUGUUGGGAAAGAACAGAAGUAGAUGAAACUCCGGCUGUCCUGACGGUACCUAAAGAGUAAGCCACGGCUAACUUCGUG